CCUACGGGGGGCUGCAGUGAGGAAUAUUGGUCAAUGGGCGCGAGCCUGAACCAGCCAAGUAGCGUGAAGGAUGAAGGUCCUAUGGAUUGUAAACUUCUUUUAUAGCAGAAUAAAGUGACCCACGUGUGGGUUUUUGUAUGUAUGCUAUGAAUAAGGAUCGGCUAACUCCGUGCCAGCAGCCGCGGUAAUACGGAGGAUCCGAGCGUUAUCCGGAUUUAUUGGGUUUAAAGGGUGCGUAGGCGGAAAGAUAAGUCAGCCUGUGAAAGUUUGCGGCU
This 275-nucleotide ribosomal RNA is filed under the name uncultured bacterium. Its description in RNAcentral is "partial 16S ribosomal RNA". It matches the Rfam family "Bacterial small subunit ribosomal RNA", at positions 338 to 609 of the family's 1533-position model. The record is from RNAcentral.